Molecule: ribosomal RNA, 184 nt
Filed under: uncultured bacterium
Lineage: Bacteria
Description: partial 16S ribosomal RNA
Rfam family: Bacterial small subunit ribosomal RNA
Source: RNAcentral
UGCAUGAAGCCGGAAUCGCUGUAAUCGCGGAUCAGAAUGCCGCGGUGAAUACGUUCCCGGGUCUUGUACACACCGCCCGUCACACCAUGGGAGUCGGAAAUGCCCGAAGCCGGUGGCCUAACCGAUAAGGGAGGAGCCGUCGAAGGCAGGUCUGAUGACUGGGGUGAAGUCGUAACAAGGUAUC